RNAcentral lists this ribosomal RNA (463 nucleotides) under uncultured bacterium. RNAcentral describes it as "partial 16S ribosomal RNA". It matches the Rfam family "Bacterial small subunit ribosomal RNA", at positions 28 to 507 of the family's 1533-position model. The record is from RNAcentral.
GACGAACGCUGGCGGCGUGCUUAACACAUGCAAGUCGAACGGUGAACCUCUUCGGAGGGGAUCAGUGGCGAACGGGUGAGUAACACGUGGGCAACCUGCCCCCGGCUCUGGGAUAACUCCAAGAAAUUGGGGCUAAUACCGGAUGUUCACCGCUUCCCGCAUGGGUGGUGGUGGAAAGGGUUUCCGGCUGGGGAUGGGCCCGCGGCCUAUCAGCUUGUUGGUGGGGUAGUGGCCUACCAAGGCGACGACGGGUAGCCGGCCUGAGAGGGUGACCGGCCACACUGGGACUGAGACACGGCCCAGACUCCUACGGGAGGCAGCAGUGGGGAAUAUUGCGCAAUGGGCGGAAGCCCGACGCAGCGACGCCGCGUGGGGGAUGACGGCCUUCGGGUUGUAAACCUCUUUCAGCAGGGACGAAGCGCAAGUGACGGUACCUGCAGAAGAAGCACCGGCCAACUACGUG